CAGGAUUUAAAAUGAGGGAAAAAAUG
RNAcentral lists this non-coding RNA (26 nucleotides) under Cricetulus griseus (Chinese hamster). The record is from RNAcentral. Lineage: Eukaryota; Metazoa; Chordata; Mammalia; Rodentia; Cricetidae.